RNAcentral lists this ribosomal RNA (1472 nucleotides) under Klebsiella pneumoniae. RNAcentral's name for it is "bacterial SSU rRNA". It matches the Rfam family "Bacterial small subunit ribosomal RNA". Lineage: Bacteria; Pseudomonadati; Pseudomonadota; Gammaproteobacteria; Enterobacterales; Enterobacteriaceae. The record is from RNAcentral.
UUGCAGCCCUAAACACAUGCAAGUCGAGCGGUAGCACAGAGAGCUUGCUCUCGGGUGACGAGCGGCGGACGGGUGAGUAAUGUCUGGGAAACUGCCUGAUGGAGGGGGAUAACUACUGGAAACGGUAGCUAAUACCGCAUAACGUCGCAAGACCAAAGUGGGGGACCUUCGGGCCUCAUGCCAUCAGAUGUGCCCAGAUGGGAUUAGCUAGUAGGUGGGGUAACGGCUCACCUAGGCGACGAUCCCUAGCUGGUCUGAGAGGAUGACCAGCCACACUGGAACUGAGACACGGUCCAGACUCCUACGGGAGGCAGCAGUGGGGAAUAUUGCACAAUGGGCGCAAGCCUGAUGCAGCCAUGCCGCGUGUGUGAAGAAGGCCUUCGGGUUGUAAAGCACUUUCAGCGGGGAGGAAGGCGGUGAGGUUAAUAACCUUGUCGAUUGACGUUACCCGCAGAAGAAGCACCGGCUAACUCCGUGCCAGCAGCCGCGGUAAUACGGAGGGUGCAAGCGUUAAUCGGAAUUACUGGGCGUAAAGCGCACGCAGGCGGUCUGUCAAGUCGGAUGUGAAAUCCCCGGGCUCAACCUGGGAACUGCAUUCGAAACUGGCAGGCUAGAGUCUUGUAGAGGGGGGUAGAAUUCCAGGUGUAGCGGUGAAAUGCGUAGAGAUCUGGAGGAAUACCGGUGGCGAAGGCGGCCCCCUGGACAAAGACUGACGCUCAGGUGCGAAAGCGUGGGGAGCAAACAGGAUUAGAUACCCUGGUAGUCCACGCCGUAAACGAUGUCGAUUUGGAGGUUGUGCCCUUGAGGCGUGGCUUCCGGAGCUAACGCGUUAAAUCGACCGCCUGGGGAGUACGGCCGCAAGGUUAAAACUCAAAUGAAUUGACGGGGGCCCGCACAAGCGGUGGAGCAUGUGGUUUAAUUCGAUGCAACGCGAAGAACCUUACCUGGUCUUGACAUCCACAGAACUUUCCAGAGAUGGAUUGGUGCCUUCGGGAACUGUGAGACAGGUGCUGCAUGGCUGUCGUCAGCUCGUGUUGUGAAAUGUUGGGUUAAGUCCCGCAACGAGCGCAACCCUUAUCCUUUGUUGCCAGCGGUUAGGCCGGGAACUCAAAGGAGACUGCCAGUGAUAAACUGGAGGAAGGUGGGGAUGACGUCAAGUCAUCAUGGCCCUUACGACCAGGGCUACACACGUGCUACAAUGGCAUAUACAAAGAGAAGCGACCUCGCGAGAGCAAGCGGACCUCAUAAAGUAUGUCGUAGUCCGGAUUGGAGUCUGCAACUCGACUCCAUGAAGUCGGAAUCGCUAGUAAUCGUAGAUCAGAAUGCUACGGUGAAUACGUUCCCGGGCCUUGUACACACCGCCCGUCACACCAUGGGAGUGGGUUGCAAAAGAAGUAGGUAGCUUAACCUUCGGGAGGGCGCUUACCACUUUGUGAUUCAUGACUGGGGUGAAGUCGUAACAAGUAUGCUAG